UACAAUUUCAUAGGCAAUUUCAAUAGCAGUUUCAUACAUCAUAAAAGACAAUCUUGCACUUGGACUCGGUAAAGAAAAGACUGCUCGCGGAAAAAAUGGAAGACGACCGCGCGCCACCACCAGCAGCAGCCCCAGCCAAGGAGUCUUCCUCCUCAAGCGCAUGCAAAGACGUUCCCAAUCUCCUCUCCUCCUUCGUCGAUACCUUCGUCGACUUUUCCGUCAGUGGCGGCCUCCUCCUCUUUCCUCAAAAUGACCAAAACCCUCACCACCGCAACCCCGGCGACGAUCCUCUUCCCUCGCCCCCACCGUUGCAGACCUAUUAUCCCCCGCAGGACCGCUUGAUUGCCAUAGGCGAUCUCCACGGCGACUUGGAGAAGACCAAGGAAUCGCUGAGACUCGCUAAAUUGAUCGACCCGGAGUCGGGUAAAUGGGUCGGUGGGUCGUCCACCUUGGUCCAGAUCGGCGACGUGUUUGACCGUGGCGGCGAUGAGCUCAAAAUCCUUUAUUAUCUUGAGAAAUUGAGACGAGAAGCCGCGAGAUGCGGCGGCACGGUGAUUACAAUGCACGGGAACCACGAGAUCAUGAACGUCGAAGGAGAUUUCAGGUUUGCGACUCACAAGGGUUUGGAUGAGUUUAGGGGUUGGGCCGAUUGGUAUUGCAUUGGGAACCGAAUGAAAUCGCUUUGUAAAGGCUUGGAAGAGCCCAAAGAUCCCUUUGAUGGGGUCCCUCUACGGUUUAAGAAUGUCAAGGAAGAGUUUGUAGAUGGGUUUAGGGCUAGAAUUGCUGCAUUGAGGCCAAAUGGUCCCAUUUCGUCCCGGUUCUUGUCCAAGAACUUGACUGUAUUGGUUGUUGGAGAUUCGGUUUUCGUCCAUGGCGGGCUUUCGGCCGCACACGUUUCUUAUGGUCUGGAGAAGAUCAAUGCGGAGGUGAGGGAUUGGGUUCAUGGAUUGAAGGAAAAAUUUGCACCUGAGUAUUGUCGUGGGAGUAAUGCCGUGGUUUGGUUGAGGAAUUUUUCGCAUGAAUUUGCGGAGAAGUGUGAUUGUUCAGCUCUUGAACAUGUUUUAUCUACAAUUCCUGGCGCUAAGAGGAUGAUUAUGGGUCACACCAUUCAACAGUUUGGGAUUAAUGGCGUUUGCGAAGAGAGAGCAAUUCGGAUUGAUGUUGGUAUGUCGAAGGGGUGUAUUAAUGGGUUGCCUGAAGUUCUGGAGAUCAAUGGGAAUUCAGGUAUGAGGAUCUUGACCUCAAAUCCAUUGUACGAGAAGAAGAAGUAUAGAUCUUCUGUGGAAAGUGAGAGGAGGCCAGGGCCUGGAUUUUUGCCUCAAGAACAUGGACCAAAACAAGUGGAAGUGAAGGCUUAACUAUUUGGAAUCUGGAAAUUGCAAUGGAGAACAUCAUUUCUCUGCGAUUCAUUUUAAAAAUGAUCUCUAUUGAAAGUUGGAUUCAGAAGAACUGAUUUCUGACAAUGCAAGUAUGGGGAUUUGGGUUUCUAUGCAGUUCUUCCAGCUAUCAAUAUCACUCUUAGCCUCCUUUGUUUCGAAAACUGCCUCAAGUUCAAGCUCGCCGGCAAACUCCUGCUCUCCAGAUGGCUGACAAGCAUACUUGGUCAAACAAAGAAGAGAAAGCAUUGUUGGCUGACAUCGAGGAGUCGUUGCAAAUGGCCAAUGUGAUGGAGUAGCUACUUUUAAGAAUAAAUGAAUGCAGGAAGGUGUUGUAACUUGUUCAUCUUCUUCAAUUCCUCCCAAGGAUAUAUGGUGACUCUUCGAUUAUGGACUUGCUUUAUAAGAUAUAUCCAAGUAUUCACUACGUUCUAAUCGUAGAAGUUAAACUGGACUUAUUAGCACAGCUGUUAACCUGGAUUUUUCUUGCCUUAUCUCAAGUCCUGCAAGAGCUAUCUCUAUUAAUGCAUCUGGAAGGAAGAUACAAAUGGAAGUAAUUGUUUUUGACUGUGUAUGGUAAUUGUUUUUAUUCAUUCAUAACCGAGUAAAUACACUUCGGGAAAGAUUUUGGUGUUGGGAAGCUUUAGCAUCCAACCUCUUUUUCCUCAAUUUGUCUCCCAACUUUCUCACGCUAGGAUAUUAUGGGGCCCAGUUGGAUAGAUAUUGAAGAAAUAAUUCGAUUUUAAA
This is a non-coding RNA of Prunus mume (Japanese apricot), 2123 nucleotides long. The record is from RefSeq and is a predicted model, not a curated record. Lineage: Eukaryota; Viridiplantae; Streptophyta; Magnoliopsida; Rosales; Rosaceae.